Molecule: small RNA, 460 nt
Filed under: Arabidopsis thaliana (thale cress)
Lineage: Eukaryota; Viridiplantae; Streptophyta; Magnoliopsida; Brassicales; Brassicaceae
Description: ATSL202560
Source: RNAcentral
UUGUCUGCAAAAAUGUGAAGUACAUGCUACUUAUAGCCAAAUAUUCCGAAACCCUAAUACUCAAAACGACGAAGUAUUGGGACGGAUUAAAAACUGUACUCGACCCAUGUGGUCGAGUGAGAGGUCGAGUGAAUAGCUGGAGUCUUCUUUUCUUCCUUGUGCUCGAGUGUCUGGUUAAGUGCGGAAUGAAGAAGGCUUUGAAGCUUGUCAUCGAGUAUGCAGUCGAGUGGUGGUGAUGGUGAUACUCGACUUCCAGGUAGAGUGAUGAGGUCGUGUACUGGUCUGGCAAUGAAGGUGAAGACACUCGACCUCGUGGUCGAGUGAUGUGAUCGAGUGAUGGUCAGGUGAUGGAGAUGAAGACGCUCGACCUCGUGGUCGAGUCGUGAGGUGAAGUUGUGAUGUCUUCUACUCGACCUGGGGGUCGAGUGGUCUCUUGAGAUCUUGAAGCUCCUACUCGACC